AGCUCCAAUAGCGUAUAUUAAAGUUGUUGCAGUUAAAAAACUCGUAGUUGGCUUUCGGAAAGGAUCGGUUGGUCGGCCGCAAGGUCUGUUACUAACCGGUCUGUUCUUCUUCGCAAAGCCUGAUCGUGCUCUUCAUUGAGCGCGUGUAGGAUUUACGACGUUUGUUUUGAAAAAAUUAGAGUGUUCAAAGCAGGCAAUUGGCUUGAAUACAUGAGCAUGGAAUAAUAAAAUAGGACUUCGGUUCUAUUUUGUUGGUUUCUAGAGCCGAAGUAAUGAUUAAGAGGGACAGUUGGGGGCAUCCGCAUUUCGUUGUCAGAGGUGAAAUACUUUGAUUUAAAAAAGACGAACAACUGCAAAAGCAUUUGUCAAGAAUGUUUUCAUUAAUCAAGAACGAAAGUAG
RNAcentral lists this ribosomal RNA (400 nucleotides) under phytoplankton environmental sample. Its description in RNAcentral is "partial small subunit ribosomal RNA". It matches the Rfam family "Eukaryotic small subunit ribosomal RNA", at positions 587 to 992 of the family's 1831-position model. The record is from RNAcentral.